Molecule: ribosomal RNA, 1147 nt
Filed under: uncultured bacterium
Lineage: Bacteria
Description: bacterial SSU rRNA
Rfam family: Bacterial small subunit ribosomal RNA
Source: RNAcentral
AGAGUUUGAUCCUGGCUCAGAUUGAACGCUGGCGGCAGGCCUAACACAUGCAAGUCGAGCGGUAACAGGGGUAGCUUGCUACCCGCUGACGAGCGGCGGACGGGUGAGUAAUGCAUAGGAAUCUGCCCGAUAGUGGGGGAUAACCUGGGGAAACCCAGGCUAAUACCGCAUACGUCCUACGGGAGAAAGGGGGCUUUGGCUCCCGCUAUUGGAUGAGCCUAUGUCGGAUUAGCUAGUUGGUAAGGUAAUGGCUUACCAAGGCAACGAUCCGUAGCUGGUCUGAGAGGAUGAUCAGCCACAUCGGGACUGAGACACGGCCCGAACUCCUACGGGAGGCAGCAGUGGGGAAUAUUGGACAAUGGGGGCAACCCUGAUCCAGCCAUGCCGCGUGUGUGAAGAAGGCCCUCGGGUUGUAAAGCACUUUCAGCGAGGAAGAACGCCUGUCGGUUAAUACCCGGUAGGAAAGACAUCACUCGCAGAAGAAGCACCGGCUAACUCCGUGCCAGCAGCCGCGGUAAUACGGAGGGUGCAAGCGUUAAUCGGAAUUACUGGGCGUAAAGCGCGCGUAGGUGGCUUGAUAAGCCGGUUGUGAAAGCCCCGGGCUCAACCUGGGAACGGCAUCCGGAACUGUCAGGCUAGAGUGCAGGAGAGGAAGGUAGAAUUCCCGGUGUAGCGGUGAAAUGCGUAGAGAUCGGGAGGAAUACCAGUGGCGAAGGCGGCCUUCUGGACUGACACUGACACUGAGGUGCGAAAGCGUGGGUAGCAAACAGGAUUAGAUACCCUGGUAGUCCACGCCGUAAACGAUGUCGACCAGCCGUUGGGUGCCUAGAGCACUUUGUGGCGAAGUUAACGCGAUAAGUCGACCGCCUGGGGAGUACGGCCGCAAGGUUAAAACUCAAUGAAUUGACGGGGGCCCGCACAAGCGGUGGAGCAUGUGGUUUAAUUCGAUGCAACGCGAAGAACCUUACCUACUCUUGACAUCCUGCGAAUUUGGGUAGAGAUACCUUUAGUGCCUUCGGGAACGCAGAGACAGGUGCUGCAUGGCUGUCGUCAGCUUCGUGUUGUGAAAUGUUGGGUUAAGUCCCGUAACGAGCGCACCUUGUCCUUAUUUUGCCAGCGGCGUUAAUGGGCGGGAAACCUUUAAAUG